ACUUGGACUGGUGUAGGAAUUUCCUAG
Molecule: non-coding RNA, 27 nt
Filed under: Mus musculus (house mouse)
Lineage: Eukaryota; Metazoa; Chordata; Mammalia; Rodentia; Muridae
Source: RNAcentral